UCAUGUUUUGACUGGUAAAUUGUACUGGUUAGUUCACUGUUUGACCAAUAACACACCCCGAUAACAUGUCUCACGUUUUAGAUUUUAGAUACUGUUUAUUGCUGAAACAACUUAACUGCUGAGGGUACUUAUGUGGCGACCAUGAAGCUUUGGCAACUUUUCUGUUUUCUGCUUGUCAAUCCUCAAUCUCUGGUUGUAGUCAAUGGCUUUGCUUGCUACUAGUAGGAGUUUAUCAGUUUCCAUGAUUUUAAUAUUUUUCAGCCAAUACAUGGUAAUUUGAAAACUAUAGGUGAUGAAAGUACAUCUUCAGAAUGUGAAGAAAAGCAGGAUCUUCCAAAUUCUGGUCACUUAAAUGAGUCUGAUCGUGUAAAUAGCAUAAUUGAACAGCGUUUCCCUCAUCCAGGAGAACCUGUUUGUGUCAUGUGGGGUAAAUAUGGAGAAUAUAUAUGCGAUGAGACCGAUGAUGACAUAUGCAGCAUCGAGUGCAAAGCUGAUCAAUUGCAUGCUUUUAAUGUUGUUAAGGUGUCGUUGAGCAAUCAAAGGCCAGAUGUCUCCUCUGGACCCAUAUGUACCUUGCUGAUGCAUGAUUUUGGGGAGGACACUUGGGAUUACAAACAACAUCGCUGGUCCAAAAAGAGUUCCAUUUUUUCUACUUAUGAGUGGUAUAUAUUUUGUCAAACAUAUUUUUCCGUCUAAGUUUCUCUAGUGUAAAAAGUGACUGUAAAGUUGAGGCC
Long non-coding RNA from Pyrus x bretschneideri (Chinese white pear), 734 nucleotides. RefSeq lists it as uncharacterized. NCBI's taxonomy places the organism in Eukaryota, Viridiplantae, Streptophyta, Magnoliopsida, Rosales, Rosaceae. The transcript has 4 exons. The record is from RefSeq and is a predicted model, not a curated record.